Non-coding RNA from Prunus avium (sweet cherry), 723 nucleotides. The record is from RefSeq and is a predicted model, not a curated record. Lineage: Eukaryota; Viridiplantae; Streptophyta; Magnoliopsida; Rosales; Rosaceae.
UAGUAUUCUAAUACAAUGUCUAAUAGCUAGGUCGGUGACUUCUCUUUACGUUUUCAGAUUUUUCUACAAUUGUCUAGUUCAAGUGUUGGCAAUCUUCCAUGGGCUGGUCUUCAUUCCCUUGGGCUGUGGGCUGGUGGUGAUGUUUUAACAGAGCAUGCAACGCACCAAGACCUUGAACUCCUCUUUGACUGCUUCGAAGAUGUCCACCACUCUGCUCCAGCGCAACCUUGUUAACGAUUUAUAUGUUACACGCACUGAACGUUGCGACUCAUCAACUGUUAUUUGGGCUCUCUUAACACCUAAUAUAGCUGGCAAUGUUGAAUUACGGAGAACAGAAAUUCAAAGAUCAUGUCACAACUGAUGACAACCAAAUUUUUACCUGUAUUAUGCUAACUUUGUAUGACCAGAAUUGUAUGGUUUGUCUACAAUGCCUAGAUUAUAACUGCUAAACUUUUCCUCCAGGCUCUGCCUUUGCUUUCUCAAGCACUUGAGAAUGAAGACUUUAAAGGGUUGGCAGAUCCAAGGCUGGAAAAGAAUUAUGUUGAGAAUGAAAUGUUUCGAAUGAUUGAGGCGGCUUCAGCUUGUGUGCGUCAUUAAGCUGCGAAAAGGCCAUGGAUGAGACAGGUGGUAAGGGCUUUUGACUCCUUAGAUGAAUUAUCAGAUCUCAGUAACGGAAUGAAACCUGGACAAAGUGAAAUUUUUGAUUCCGCACAACAAUCUGCA